Long non-coding RNA from Gasterosteus aculeatus aculeatus (three-spined stickleback), 366 nucleotides. The record is from Ensembl. Lineage: Eukaryota; Metazoa; Chordata; Actinopteri; Perciformes; Gasterosteidae.
GUGGACAGUACUCGUGCUGCUAAUCACUUCAGUCCAGCAGGUGGCAGUUAGGCUCCGUUAAGCUUCUCCACCACCCACUAAACCACCAGUAAAGAAGAAGAGUAAAUGAGAAGGAGGCCUAAUCCUAGUCCCUGUACACCCUAAACCCUGAGCCCUCAGGGACUUAACUGACACCACCUGGUCUCCGUAGAUUGUAGUUCCGUUUGGACCCUCGUCCUGACUGAUGCCUGGCCCGCGGACACGUUUCCAUGGAUCAUGGUUCUAUCUGAACCCUGUUCCUGCCUCCUGCCAUGACCCUGCUGACACCUGCUGCGGAUAUCAUCAUUAUUAUUUUAAAUAUUAAUCACAUUUACUAUUACUCUCAUC